Molecule: long non-coding RNA, 878 nt
Organism: Macrobrachium nipponense
Lineage: Eukaryota; Metazoa; Arthropoda; Malacostraca; Decapoda; Palaemonidae
Exons: 4
Source: RefSeq, a predicted model, not a curated record
AUGAAAUUGAAAUCACUUUUUUGGAAACAUCGGAUGAUCGGAUCGCUAACCUUCGGUGUUUUGUGUGAACUAAGGUCAGGUAGUACUGUAAAUGGUGAAGUUGAACCAAGAUCUGCAGAAACGGACCACCCACAUGAAAUGAAAAAAUUUCAUACAACAUAUAUGUACAAUAACAAGAACACUAGUGCAGACCUCCACCAAGGAUCAUGAAAUGGAAGGAAAAAAAACUCCCCCUCCACAUAAAAGAAUGCUGAAAUGAAAGGUAACAUCUGAUGAGUAUAAUAUUAGAGGACUUGAGGCUCAUGGGAAGAUUGAUGAUAGCAUCCUACCAAACAAGGAUUUCAGGACUUAAAAAGGAACCAAGAAAUGUGGAUUUCUGGUGGAUGUUUGGAAUUUUGUUGAGGAGGCUAGAAUGUCUGUACAUGUUGCUGCCAUAAUGGAGAAGUUCUCGCCUUCAAAUAUUAUACCUUCAAUUUGAUAUUACUUUCAAUAUAGUGCAACAGAUAAAAAUAGGACAUAUGAAAAAGAUUAUCUCACCUUUCCCAUGAUUUGCUGAAUGCCACAGCUUGAUAUUUUCAGCAAUUUUUUAACAGCACCUCAGUGGCGUGGUCAGUUUGGUCUUGGCAUGCCACCUCAGUGGUCACGAGUUCAAAUCUCGGGCAUUCCAUUGAGGCAUCAGAGAUGUGUAUUUCUGGUGGUAGAAGUUCUCUCGACGUGGUUCGGAAGUCACGUAAACCCGUUGUUCCCGUUGCUGAAUAACCACUUGUUCUCUGCAACAUAAAAAUGCCAUACAAACAAUCAACCAUUCAACUCAAUUGUGAAGGCAAUCUGUACUAAAAAAAAGUUGUGCCACCGUAGACCAAGUUGGUUUUAUAAUA